GCAGUCUGGAGGAGCAGCAGGACUCCCAUCUCAGGCAAACAGGAAACGGGAGCUAAAUUACUCAGGAAGUUUCAGUUGGUCAUCAGAGGCCUCUGAACUUUCAGAUUUUGGAGUUUUAUGGUUAAAGAAACAUCUAUUCAGUGCACCGUGUCUCUCCGGUUCCUCUGAAUAUCAUUUUCUUGUAUCCGAGUAUCCAGCAUCCAAGUGUGGUAGGAUCUGAUGAGGAUCUGAUACACAACCAGAGGAGCCCUGACAAUAUUGACGAUAAACUGGCCAGGGUCCGCUGUGUCCUCAUCGCGAUGACACCAGACGAAAGGAAAAAAGGAAGAAAAAAAAGGAUCUGGAAACCACAGUGACCAUCAUUGUAUUUCACAUUUAUUAACACUAAAUAACCAUUGGCAACUUAUUUUAAUUAAUUUCACGGGUAAGUAGUAUUUAUUUUUACUUAUGUUUUACUAAAACAGCUUUCAUGCUAUUAAGGCUGUAUUGAGUAUUUUCACAAGCCCCAUAGUUUUGUGUUACCUUCUCCUAUCUGUCAUUUAAAACUGUAAGCUGAUUGAUCACAAGCCCAAGUUCCUCCUCCUCCACACACUACACUGCAAUCCAUUCAAACAUGCAACACACUGAUCAGCUUGAGAUACCGGGCCACUAUGAAUCGUUAUGGCCCUAAAAUCAACGCUGCCACUAACGAGCGCUCGUUAGUAAAUGCCACCCUUGAUUAAACGCCUCAUUAGCACCAAUGAUGGCAGUGGUCAGCUUGGAAAGAGCAUGGGCUCUGGACCAAUAACGUGUCACCCCAUGUUUGGGUGAACAUUCGGUUAAUUUCAUUGCAGGCAUCCAUUAUAUUUAGUCACUAACAUACUGUAGCUUAUGUUUGCUGGAAUUGCCAUUCAAACAGCACAAUAUUUCUGCUAGAUCAUCUCAGUAAAGCUAUGUCUUUAGCCAAGGACCGGA
Long non-coding RNA from Anguilla anguilla (European eel), 954 nucleotides. RefSeq lists it as uncharacterized. NCBI's taxonomy places the organism in Eukaryota, Metazoa, Chordata, Actinopteri, Anguilliformes, Anguillidae. The transcript has 3 exons. The record is from RefSeq and is a predicted model, not a curated record.